UACGGAGGGUGCAAGCGUUAUCCGGAUUCACUGGGUUUAAAGGGUGCGUAGGUGGGUUGGUAAGUCAGUGGUGAAAUCUCCGAGCUUAACUUGGAAACUGCCAUUGAUACUAUUAGUCUUGAAUAUUGUGGAGGUCAGCGGAAUAUGUCAUGUAGCGGUGAAAUGCUUAGAGAUGACAUAGAACACCAAUUGCGAAGGCAGCUCACUACACAAUCAUUGACGCUGAGGCACGAAAGCGUGGGGAUCAAACAGG
Molecule: ribosomal RNA, 253 nt
Filed under: uncultured bacterium
Lineage: Bacteria
Description: partial 16S ribosomal RNA
Rfam family: Bacterial small subunit ribosomal RNA
Source: RNAcentral